UAUAUAUAUACACACAUAUACAUAUAUGAUAGGGAGGCCAAAUGGAUCGUCUAGCUCACAACAAAAAAGUCACCUAGUUUCAGCCCAACAGACACCAACGCCGACCAAACGUGUGCUUGGUCUGGCCCAGUAUCAGCCCGACCUUGGACUCCGCCGAAAGCUCCUUCAAACUUGGAUAUUCGCCAACGCGCCCCGGCCAAGCUCG
This 205-nucleotide long non-coding RNA is filed under the name Phoenix dactylifera (date palm). Its description in RNAcentral is "long non-coding RNA (PDAC_LNC003579)". The record is from RNAcentral. Lineage: Eukaryota; Viridiplantae; Streptophyta; Magnoliopsida; Arecales; Arecaceae.